AGACCCGAAACCCGGUGAUCUAGCCAUGGGCAGGUUGAAGGUUGGGUAACACUAACUGGAGGACCGAACCGACUAAUGUUGAAAAAUUAGCGGAUGACCUGUGGCUGGGGGUGAAAGGCCAAUCAAACCGGGAGAUAGCUGGUUCUCCCCGAAAGCUAUUUAGGUAGCGCCUCGUGAAUUCAUCUCCGGGGGUAGAGCACUGUUUCGGCUAGGGGGCCAUCCCGGCUUACCAACCCGAUGCAAACUGCGAAUACCGGAGAAUGUUAUCACGGGAGACACACGGCGGGUGCUAACGUCCGUCGUGAAGAGGGAAACAACCCAGACCGCCAGCUAAGGUCCCAAAGUCAUGGUUAAGUGGGAAACGAUGUGGGAAGGCCCAGACAGCCAGGAUGUUGGCUUAGAAGCAGCCAUCAUUUAAAGAAAGCGUAAUAGCUCACUGGUCGAGUCGGCCUGCGCGGAAGAUGUAACGGGGCUAAACCAUGCACCGAAGCUGCGGCAGCGAACGUAUCACUUAAAGCGAUUCAGCGGGUUACGAUUGACGGAGCGAAGCGACGUCAAAGCGUAUACAAAGUCGAGUCGGUUUAAGGAUACGUUCGUUGGGUAGGGGAGCGUUCUGUAAGCCUGUGAAGGUGGCCUGUGAGGGUUGCUGGAGGUAUCAGAAGUGCGAAUGCUGACAUAAGUAACGAUAAAGCGGGUGAAAAGCCCGCUCGCCGGAAGACCAAGGGUUCCUGUCCAACGUUAAUCGGGGCAGGGUGAGUCGACCCCUAAGGCGAGGCCGAAAGGCGUAGUCGAUGGGAAACAGGUUAAUAUUCCUGUACUUGGUGUUACUGCGAAGGGGGGACGGAGAAGGCUAUGUUGGCCGGGCGACGGUUGUCCCGGUUUAAGCGUGUAGGCUGGUUUUCCAG
RNAcentral lists this ribosomal RNA (905 nucleotides) under Salmonella enterica. RNAcentral describes it as "partial 23S ribosomal RNA". It matches the Rfam family "Bacterial large subunit ribosomal RNA", at positions 711 to 1536 of the family's 2925-position model. RNAcentral also lists the same sequence under 1 other name. The record is from RNAcentral. Lineage: Bacteria; Pseudomonadati; Pseudomonadota; Gammaproteobacteria; Enterobacterales; Enterobacteriaceae.